This 95-nucleotide non-coding RNA is filed under the name Aerococcus urinaehominis. Its description in RNAcentral is "THF-I sequence". It matches the Rfam family "THF (Tetrahydrofolate) riboswitch aptamer". From Rfam's summary of the family: THF riboswitch presents a pseudoknot that joins P1-P2 and the loop of P3 and two THF binding. The record is from Rfam by way of RNAcentral. Lineage: Bacteria; Bacillati; Bacillota; Bacilli; Lactobacillales; Aerococcaceae.
UUGAGAGUAGGGUAUACGCGUUAAGUGCCAGGAGACGGAAUGUUGCUGCUGGACGAAGGACUGUGUGUUCGUGGUGUCUGCCCGCAUUCGCUCAA